UAAGGAAUAUUGGACAAUGGUCGCAAGACUGAUCCAGCCAUGCCGCGUGCAGGAAGACGGCCCUAUGGGUUGUAAACUGCUUUUGUACCAGAGAAAACCUAUCUACUGGUAGAUAGCUGAUAGUAUGGUAAGAAUAAGCAUCGGCUAACUUCGUGCCAGCAGCCGCGGUAAGACGAAGGAUGCAAGCGUUAUCCGGAUUCAUUGGGUUUAAAGGGUGCGUAGGCGGGCUUGUAAGUCAGUGGUGAAAGCUCUCAGCUUAACUGAGAAACUGCCAUGGAUACUGCAGGCCUAGAGUAUAGAUGACGAUGGCGGAACAUGACAUGUAGAGGUGAAAUACUUAGAUAUGUCACAGAACACCGAUGGCGAAGGC
RNAcentral lists this ribosomal RNA (370 nucleotides) under uncultured bacterium. RNAcentral describes it as "bacterial SSU rRNA". It matches the Rfam family "Bacterial small subunit ribosomal RNA", at positions 355 to 722 of the family's 1533-position model. The record is from RNAcentral.